CCUUUUUUUCGUUCUGAAGUGAUAACAGGCAACGAGUCAGGGAUCACCGGAGGAGCAUGUUCGGAGCAGUGCGCGACAUACUUCGCGGAAGGAGGGUGGACUGCUGAGUCCAUGUAUCGUCCUUUUUCGGUUACCAAGUUGUAUAUUUAAUCAUCAGUGCAAAUAAGAGUCCGAGUGAGUAGUUUCGUCGAACCACUAGAAGCGAUGUCAUCGACUCACAUCGUGCUUGGCAUUACUAUUUUCUUGGUAAGCGCCCUCGUGGCUGCGGCGACCGCCUUUGUUUGCUACUACAGAGCAAGGCGUAGGAUAGACAUCUCACGCAUGCGUAAAGCCUCUGGAGGCAUCCGUGGGUCGCGCCCUCCCCUGGGACUGCCCCGGCGUAAGCCCCCGCCCGUCCCUCGCUCCUGGCAGCCGCCCUCCUCUUCGCGACCCCCGACCUCGUCCUCCCACUCCGCCUCGGAACGUCCUUCGGGGGAUUCGGCGAAUUCCGGUCAAAAUAACAGACAUCUUAAGUCAGCGUCGAAACGCUACAAGCCUCAUGGUAGACCUGCCGACUACCACGUCCUUGGAGUCCGGUCUGAACAUCAAAAACAGCCUUGGGGCUUGCACUCAGACUCUGAACUUCUUCCUUUGCGAAGUCCUAGGAUCGAGGCACAAUAUUUCUACUUAGAUAAUAGCUCUCCUAAUCUGAAGGCUUCAUUGGUGGAAACCAAACAGAGCUCUCGAAACGGCUACCUGUCGGACAUGCGUUUUGAACAUUCAACCGAGAGUUCAGCUAUAAUGAAAUCCAGCAAGGAAAUAAAGUUUAGGAAAGAUGAUUCCGCGGCGGGAAAGGUUCAGAUGAAAUCAACCUUUUCCCUGGAACUCGCAGCCAAAGUGAACGAGAAAUCAUUAACAAGCAAACGUCCGAGCGUAAAGAACGUGACAGAGCAACGUAGGUCAUUUUCAGACCAGGAACCUGAUUACGCCAGCCUGGGCGAGGACUCGGAAGAUAAGUGCGGAUCAAACUCAGCCACUCUGCAAAGACCACUAGGAGGCAGGACCGGAGAGCAACAGCAGCUCGAUGGCGUGCAAUAUAUGAACGUGACAGAGGUCUCGGGACCUUACAUGAAUGUCAUUUCUACCGAUUCACUUACGAAAGGUCGCGGCCCGGAGCUGCACAAGGCCAUCUCAGAUCCUGAACAUCUCUACGAAUCCCUGGGCGAAAAUGAGCAGGAAGAAUGUCGGUCCGGCAAUGCAACUUGGCAAGGCGUGAUCGGGCCACAAACUCUUAGAAGAAUGGGAGAAAGGGUUGGAGAAGACUGGCGGUGCAUGAAGAGGGAUUCGCACCCGUAUGCCAUUCCUUGCAGCACCGACGACGAAGAAGACCCAUACGAGGAAAUUAGAGAGAUGUGACAGCUUCCUCGAGAUGCGCAUAACGACAUUGUUCGUGAGCAUUUAGGAAUGUGAACAAGAGAACGCGAGCGCCUCACAACCAUCCGGGCGUCAAAACAACCUUAUCAGAGCCAAGGGAAGAAUCCGGUGAUCCCCCGAACGAUAUAUGUGGCGCAGGAAGUCCCUCUGUUUUCAGGAAGUACUUCUUGGAUACGAGAUGCUGUGACAGCUCUUGGUUAUCUUCUUUUUUCAUCUGAUAAACUUAGAGCUAAAAAAUAUCUCACUGUGUUCUUGAUUAGCUGUUUUCAGUUUUUAACAUGUAUCUGUUUUCUCUCCUCUCUCUAUUUGGUGAUCUACUUCAUCAGCAAAAAUCAAAAUCUACGUUUCUGCUUCUCAUUACUAUAUAAAACUUUUUUAUAACAGGUGAUGUGCUUUUCAUUGGAUAUGUAGUAGCAAUAACUAUAAAAGUAAUCGUCUUUUCAAAACACAUAGGCAGCAGGUAC
This 1877-nucleotide unclassified non-coding RNA is filed under the name Penaeus monodon (black tiger shrimp). Its description in RNAcentral is "uncharacterized LOC119586402, transcript variant X1". The record is from RNAcentral. Lineage: Eukaryota; Metazoa; Arthropoda; Malacostraca; Decapoda; Penaeidae.